RNAcentral lists this ribosomal RNA (460 nucleotides) under uncultured bacterium. Its description in RNAcentral is "partial 16S ribosomal RNA". It matches the Rfam family "Bacterial small subunit ribosomal RNA", at positions 338 to 795 of the family's 1533-position model. The record is from RNAcentral.
CCUACGGGUGGCAGCAGUGAGGAAUAUUGGUCAAUGGGCGGAAGCCUGAACCAGCCAAGUAGCGUGCAGGAUGACGGCCCUACGGGUUGUAAACUGCUUUUAUACGGGAAUAACGCGCCUUACGUGUAGGGCUUUGCAUGUACCGUAUGAAUAAGGACCGGCUAAUUCCGUGCCAGCAGCCGCGGUAAUACGGAAGGUCCGGGCGUUAUCCGGAUUUAUUGGGUUUAAAGGGAGCGUAGGCCGCAUGUCAAGCGUGCUGUGAAAUGUCCGGGCUCAACCCGGGCCUUGCAGCGCGAACUGGCGUGCUUGAGUCUGCGGAAAGCAGGCGGAAUUCGUGGUGUAGCGGUGAAAUGCUUAGAUAUGACGAAGAACCCCGAUUGCGAAGGCAGCCUGCUGCAGCGGAACUGACGCUGAUGCUCGAAAGCGCGGGUAUCGAACAGGAUUAGAUACCCCAGUAGUC